RNAcentral lists this ribosomal RNA (446 nucleotides) under uncultured bacterium. Its description in RNAcentral is "bacterial SSU rRNA". It matches the Rfam family "Bacterial small subunit ribosomal RNA", at positions 329 to 792 of the family's 1533-position model. The record is from RNAcentral.
GACCAGACUCCUACGGGAGGCAGCAGUGGGGAAUAUUGCACAAUGGGGGGAACCCUGAUGCAGCGACGCCGCGUGGGUGAAGGAGCACCUCGGUGCGUAAAGCCCUAUCGGCAGGGAAGAAACAGACGGUACCUGACUAAGAAGCCCCGGCUAACUACGUGCCAGCAGCCGCGGUAAUACGUAGGGGGCAAGCGUUAUCCGGAUUUACUGGGUGUAAAGGGGGCGCAGACGGCGAUGCAAGCCAGGAGUGAAAGGCCGGGGCCCAACCCCGGGACUGCUCUGGGAACUGCGUGGCUGGAGUGCAGGAGGGGCAGGCGGAAUUCCUGGUGUAGCGGUGAAAUGCGUAGAUAUCAGGAGGAACACCGGUGGCGAAGGCGGCCUGCUGGACUGCAACUGACGUUGAGGCCCGAAAGCGUGGGUAUCGAACAGGAUUAGAUACCCUAGUA